UACGAAGGGGGCUAGCGUUGCUCGGAAUCACUGGGCGUAAAGCGCACGUAGGCGGAUUGCUAAGUCAGGGGUGAAAUCCUGGAGCUCAACUCCAGAACUGCCUUUGAUACUGGCGACCUUGAGUCCGGGAGAGGUGAGUGGAACUGCGAGUGUAGAGGUGAAAUUCGUAGAUAUUCGCAAGAACACCAGUGGCGAAGGCGGCUCACUGGCCCGGUACUGACGCUGAGGAGCGAAAGCCAGGGGAGCAAACGGG
RNAcentral lists this ribosomal RNA (253 nucleotides) under uncultured bacterium. RNAcentral describes it as "partial 16S ribosomal RNA". It matches the Rfam family "Bacterial small subunit ribosomal RNA", at positions 524 to 776 of the family's 1533-position model. The record is from RNAcentral.